UCCCAGCGGUCCAAGUCGCAAUCACUUUUACUGGGUCUAAAAUAUCCGUAGCUUGCUAAACAAGUUCUUUGUGAAAUCCGGCCUCUUAAGGGUCGAAGAGCAAAGAAUACUAUUUAGCUAGAGACCGGGAGACGUAAGAAGUACUGUCAGGGUAGCGGUUAAAUGCGUUAAUCCUGACUGGACUAACAACAGCGAAGGCAUCUUACGAGAACGGAUCUGACAGUGAGGGAUGAAGGCUAGGGGCGCAAAGUGG
This 253-nucleotide ribosomal RNA is filed under the name uncultured archaeon. RNAcentral's name for it is "partial 16S ribosomal RNA". It matches the Rfam family "Archaeal small subunit ribosomal RNA", at positions 474 to 727 of the family's 1478-position model. The record is from RNAcentral.